GCUGGUGGAGAAGCAACUGGGGCAGGUGGUGGUAAUACUGGUGGUUGUGAUGGACUUGAGACAGGUGGAAUUGGUGGAGGUUGUGGUGGUGGGGUCGCUGGAGCAGAAACGGGGGCAACUUUAGGCGGAGGUACUAUUGGAGGUGGUGCUGAAGUUACUGGUGGCUGUGAUGGUGCAACAGGCGUAGUGGAAGGCGGGGGUGUUGCUGCAACAGGUGUCGUAGUAGGUGCUGAAGUUA
This 238-nucleotide unclassified non-coding RNA is filed under the name Hevea brasiliensis (rubber tree). The record is from RNAcentral. Lineage: Eukaryota; Viridiplantae; Streptophyta; Magnoliopsida; Malpighiales; Euphorbiaceae.